Mus spicilegus (steppe mouse) is the source of this 1628-nucleotide long non-coding RNA. NCBI's taxonomy places the organism in Eukaryota, Metazoa, Chordata, Mammalia, Rodentia, Muridae. The record is from Ensembl.
CUUGUUUUUAUUAAAUUUUUGUAACGAACACCAAAUAGGCUUUGAAUAAUGGUUUCUCCUGUGGAAGGACCUGCUGUGAGUCCACACUCUGCACACAGCAAGGAGCAUGGCCCAGGUCACCAUCCAGUGAACGUCCCUGCUCACUUAGUAAUGUGGGUAGCCAUCCUGUGGAGGGUCCCUUCCCGGUCUCAGGUCUCACUUUCCUUUCAACCCUGUAGAUUCCAACACUUGGUGUCAGUAUUGCCCCAAAGCCAAAACAGGAUCAGGCUGGAAAUUAAGAAAAACCCUGAAAAGCUCUGGAGUGAACAGGAACCCUGUGAGUGCCAUCGCUAAGCUGGUGGUUGGUCCCGCAGGAGUCAGAGCUGCUAGGGAACGGAUGGGGAGGCCCCUGAGCCUGUCUGGGACAGGGGUUUGGCACUCUGGCUAAACUGAUUGCCCCGCAGCUAUCUGGCCCUCCUGGAGCUUCUUUCUCGCCCAUGCUAGUACCCGCUUGUUAGGAACUUCCUGUGGUCCAUCCUUGUCGUAGUAAAUGCUUGGUGCCCAUGGGUACGAGGGGAACAGCAUGUAAACAAACAUACGCAAUAGAGAAAAAAUGAAGGCCAAAGGAAAGCAGGCUGGUUGACGGGUUAUGGGUUCUAGAAUCAUCCAGACACCUGAUGUCCUCUCCCAGCCACUGGGCUAUCUCUUUCUUGUAUUUCUUCCCAUUUGCUGCUGCUCCUCCUCCUCCUCUCCCCCUCCCCCUCCCCCUCCAUCUUCUUCCUCUUCCAACUCCUCUACUCUUCUCUCCCCUCCCCCCUCCUCUAAAUCAUACUCGGGAUCCAGGAGCAAGAGAAAGGUGUGGACAAACCUUACCUUUGGGGCUUUGCCUUGCACUGAGGAAAAGAACUGCCGGCUGGGAUGCAGCCUGUGGCUUAUCCACCCCAGAGAUCCGGGAGCAGAUGUGAACUCUGCCCUCUAGUGGGGAAAGAAGGGGAAAACCGCUGCCCUGACCUCACCAAGACCAGACUACAUCUACACCAAUGGGAACCUCCUGAAGGAUGAUACACCCUGUGGAUCCUUGCGCCAAUCCUAAUUUGGAUCUGAACUUAUGCCCAAAGGAUCCAUAGGAAGAAGUAAAGACGGGAUUUUCUCUUAGGGGUGCCACCGACCCUCUGCCUCAGUGGGGAGAUGCCUCAUGUCCCGCUGCUGUGACAGAAUGCCUGAGAUAAAUCAACGUAAACACCAGGCUUAUGUGACGAAUACUUUCAGAGAUUUUUAGUCUACAUUUGUGUCGGGUCUCGACUCCCCAAAAAUGACAAUCUGGGUUCGGCUCAGGCUUACUUGGGCCAGGUCAACACUUAGCAUUCCUUAGAAAUCUUGUAAAAUGGGUUUCUGCUUGCCAUGAAAACUGUUACCUUCUUAUAUGCUCCUGCAGUCUCCGGAAAUUGCAUUGAGUUCCCUAUUAACUUAAACAGGUCCCCAGUGGGUCAGAGCCCCAUGCUCGUUCCCAGGCCGCUCCAGCUAACCCACCCUCCACCCGCUGCAACAUGUCUCCUUCUAACUGGCAGGACUCUGCCGAUAUCCAUGCUGUUUUCUCUGAAGCCCAGGAGACAGCCUUGGUGGUUGAAUAAACUGUUUUCCUUCACCCA